This is a long non-coding RNA of Haemorhous mexicanus (house finch), 2549 nucleotides long. RefSeq lists it as uncharacterized. The record is from RefSeq and is a predicted model, not a curated record. The transcript is spliced from 3 exons. NCBI's taxonomy places the organism in Eukaryota, Metazoa, Chordata, Aves, Passeriformes, Fringillidae.
UGUUCUGUAACACAAGCCAAGAAAAGCCAGAGCUCUGGUCUUACAAUUACUUUAACACAGCUUUAGAGAAAGUAAAAUUGCGCAGUAAAUUGUAUAUUAAAGCUACAGGUGCAAAGCAUUUUUACUUAGGUAGAAUCCUUUUAUUUACCUGGCUGGCUGAUAUAUAUGUAGUGAGGUUUAAAUCAGUCUUUGAAAACGGCAAGAAAAUUCUAUUCCCUUCCAAGUUCAAUGCAGAAAUCUCAAUCCAAACAAGCCAGUUGUAUCAAUGAGAGUAUAUUGUGCCAACUUCUAAAGAUGAUGUCACUGACAAAAGAGUGUUGUGAAAUGUUUAAAGGAACCAAGGGUGGAUUAUCACAGUGGAGGAGCCCUCCUUCACGAUAAACACUACCCUGGUGGUUUUCAUAUGAACUGCCAGUCUAAACUUGUUCAAACCUCACCCUCUUUUUGACUUAAAUACCAAUCUGAAGAAAAUCUGCUUUAUCCUGUACUUUUUCUAAGGAUCAAUGUCCUUUGAAUGCUGCAAUCCUGGGAUUGCUGUUGCAUUUUAAUAUAUAACUGAUGACACAACAGUCCCCAGUAAGUCAUCUGAAGACCUGGUAAUAAAUUUUAGAGGUCCACAACCUACAACCUGUUUCUGGGACAUGUUUUAGAGAACUCCAGGCCACCUACCCACUAAUGAGAGUUACAACUGACACUUCCUAAAGAACCAGAACUGCACAGCCCUACCAUUCAAGCUGGGCCUGUACCACCAUGUGAGCUAAAGAAGCCAUGGCUUCAGGAAGUACACAGGACUUCUCCAAAAGUUUGCUAUCACAGGCAAAAAAACCAGUCAUGAAAUACAGACACUGAAAUCCACAAAAAGAGAGAGACACUUUCAGACCUGAUUUCCUGGCAAAAGGAAGAAUUGCAGUCACUUGCACGUAGGGUGCAGGAGUGUGUGUAAAGGCAAGCAGGAGGGCAGUGGGUGGUAGUCACUGACUGCGGUGUAUGCUUUCAAAAAAAAUGAAACUCAGAUAUAAGCCAUCUAUUCCUGUCUGACUCCUGACAACUGACUUAUAAUGCAAUCUCUAUCUUCAUAUCUUAGAAAAGAUUACUGAAAAAAACAGAUGUGCAGCAGUCAAAGUAUGGGUCACGGUGACCAGCUUCUUUGGUUAAACUACUAAAUUCAGUCUGGGAAUAACUGAUCUUGGUCCAGUUUUUGAUAAAUCCAAAAGCAUUAGUUUAGAUAUCAGCAGAUUUUUAAAUCUGUACUGCAAAUAUCUUUCCACCUCAGCUGUGAAAAUUGAUGACAUUCAUGGUGCAGUGCUCUCUGAGUCGCUCAAUAAAAUUCCUUUUGGGGAUUAAAAAUCAUUCAUCUUCUUCAAUGCCUCCUUAAUUUCAGAUUCUCACAACUCGUCACUCCAAGUGAGCACGUGUUAUUUGGACUCACAAACAUGUGCCAGGCAUCACUCAGCACGCAGAAAUACAUCCACCCUAUCUGUCAAGAGGCUACACUCCAACAGAGGCAUCCGAGAAGACACCGGGGCAAGCAGGGGCAGCAAAGGAGUCUUAAGGGACAUGAAAAACCAAGGGGCAUCAGAGAAUCACUACCAAGGUCUUUGCUUUGCCUGGAGGAGUGGUUGAUGGCUGCCAUGCAUGGGAAGUCUUGUGCAGUACAUCCAGGAUCUCACUAUGACACAGGAGACCAGGUGGAGGGAUGGGCUUUCCUCUUCCUCUGGAGAGGAAAGGUGAGCUGGCCUGGAGGGGAAAAAAGUAACAGCAGGCAAUAAACUGCAGAAAUGGAGAAGAAAAUACUGAAGUUCACAAGAGGGUGAGAGAAGUUCAUCAAUGAAGUAAAAGUGGAAAAAACCCAAUAAAUUGAAAACAGGCUUUUUGAAGAGGGAAGAAAGGUUUGAAAUGGCAGGUGAGAAGGACUGAAGUAAAUAAGCAGGAGUUAUGACAGCUGGUAUGACAGCUUCGGAGGUGGGGACAGGAAGAAGGGGAAAGAAAAAUCAGAGCAGGAGGCAGAAGAGGUAAAAGCACUGUGAACAGCCGGGUCAGUAAAGAGGACAGAAAAGAAACGUGAGCUCCUGGAGGAGUGUUAACAACAAUUCACAUUCACAAGACAUGUGGGAGUUACCGACAUACAGAGACAGGAGAAGAGCUUGGAAAUCUUCAGAGGAAAGAGCAAAAGAACAGCUGGAGACCUGAGAAUCGUCUCAAGCCACGAUGCUCCGAGAUCAAUAUUCGAGGAGGUGCUGGAGAGGUGGUCCUUCAAUGCUUUAUCAAGGUCAUCAGGUGACAAGCGUCACCCGUGUUCUCCCGUGAAGCCACGGAGCAGCGCUCCUGCACGGAGGGUCUCGGAGCUCGGUGUGGCCAGCCAGCCCGGCUGAGGUGCCGCUUGUUCUCCGAGCCCCCGCCUGUGCCCUCGAAGGAGCGGGUGCGACAGCAGCUGCCCUCGGUCUGCGGGGGGUGCGGCGGGAGGCUGUGAAGGGGCGGGGGCCCGGCAUCCCUGCCGCACCGGCGGCGAGCUGAGGCGGCCGCAGUGGAAAAACCCCAGCGGGGCGUGA